AACGAACGCUGGCGGCAGGCCUAACACAUGCAAGUCGAGCGCGCCCUUCGGGGUGAGCGGCGGACGGGUGAGUAACGCGUGGGAACGUGCCCUUUUCUACGGAAUAGCCUCGGGAAACUGAGAGUAAUACCGUAUACGCCCUUUGGGGGAAAGAUUUAUCGGAAAAGGAUCGGCCCGCGUUGGAUUAGGUAGUUGGUGGGGUAGUGGCCUACCAAGCCGACGAUCCAUAGCUGGUUUGAGAGGAUGAUCAGCCACACUGGGACUGAGACACGGCCCAGACUCCUACGGGAGGCAGCAGUGGGGAAUCUUAGACAAUGGGGGCAACCCUGAUCUAGCCAUGCCGCGUGAGUGAUGAAGGCCUUAGGGUUGUAAAGCUCUUUCAGCUGGGAAGAUAAUGACGGUACCAGCAGAAGAAGCCCCGGCUAACUCCGUG
RNAcentral lists this ribosomal RNA (433 nucleotides) under uncultured bacterium. RNAcentral's name for it is "partial 16S ribosomal RNA". It matches the Rfam family "Bacterial small subunit ribosomal RNA", at positions 29 to 507 of the family's 1533-position model. The record is from RNAcentral.